Drosophila kikkawai is the source of this 1669-nucleotide non-coding RNA. The record is from RefSeq and is a predicted model, not a curated record. NCBI's taxonomy places the organism in Eukaryota, Metazoa, Arthropoda, Insecta, Diptera, Drosophilidae.
CACCAAGAUGACAAUUGUUUCAAUAUACACACACACACUCGGACACUUGUUUGCAUGGAGAGCGGAAAGACUGAGAUAAUCUGCCCGGAGCGAGAAUCAAGUGUCAUUUUUUUUCUCAGUCUGCCACUGACGUUGGACCAAAAUAAAGACAAAUCAGACGGCCUCCGACUGCCAGCAGACCAACCCAAUCCGAACGCGACUAUUGCUUACCAGUUAUGAGGAUGUCUGGGACAUCCACCUCCGAACGCUCAAACUCCGAAGACAGCCCAUCGAAUCUCUGCCUGACGGAGGUGCUCAGGACUUGUGCCAACAUACAGUCGCUGGAGAGUCUCAACUACGAGUACAACGACGUCUACCUGACUGGACCCAGUGAGGGCAAGAUGAUAUCUCCGAAUCCGUACUUCAGCGGGAACAUCUCCACCAGCAGCUGUCCCAGUGAAGAUGUGUCCUUCACGGAGAGCAUUCUCGAAGACAACGGGCGUAUAUCGCUGGCAUAUGAGAACCUGAAGACCAUUCCACGGCGCCUGGCCGACAAGUUUGCGGCACAGACCAAGUUCCUCGAUUUGAGUCACAACGAUUUCCGAAAUCUCAAGUUUCUCUCAUUUUUCGAGGACCUGGACACACUCAUCCUGGACCGCAACGUAAACCUAGACCUCAACACCUUUCCCUAUUUGCCGAGCUUAAGGAUCUUGUGGAUCAACAACUGCGAUAUUGCCAACAUAACUGACUGGAUACACCGCAUCGAGCGGCAGUGUCCUUCACUGGAGCAGCUGUCUUGCAUGGGCAAUCCUGGUAUCCGCACAGUCUUUGGUAAUCAGGGACCUCGUGACUAUACCCUGCAGGUCCUGCCACACCUGAAAUACCUGGACGGACUGCCGGUUUGCCUGAGCAGCGGGAGUGGAGGGCACACGGAGCUCUCCUCGUCGCAGGGGCACGGUCAGGACUCCACCAGCAACUCAGAGAAGCAGCCCCGCUCUGCACCCGCCCUCACCUUCAAGAACUUCUUCCGAGUGAAACAUUCGAGGAAAUCGCGCAGUGGGCGGACCUACGGCAACGGCUCCUCCACAAACUGAAGUCCACUGGCGAUGGCGCUGGGUGGGAGGGGUAUUCUGUAGAUUGCAUUCUGUCCCAUUGUUGGACUAUUUUUAGCCGUCCGCUGGACUAUCAGCGCUGCCCUCGGAUGCCCUGCAGUCGUCGAUUGCACCUACAGUACGAUGCAUGGAAAUAUAUACACACACAUGCCAUGAACCGAGUGUGCGCGUAUGUGCAUAUGCAGAUGUAUGACGAUGUUGGACAUGCACGAGCCUAGUGAGAAUUAAUCUAGUGCAUUGAAGCAAUUUUUACAAUAAAGCGAGUCAAUGGACUCAUGAGACGAUCAACAGCGGGUAUAGUAUAAUAGCACCUAUCUUCUGAGUAAAUAUUGUGCUCGUUUUAACAGCAUUGUGAAUGCCGUUCAAUGUCCGAUUAAUGUUGCAUCAAUUCGUGGGCCAGAUUAAGUGUGCUCUUGUUUUCGAAAUGGAGGUCACCCAAAAAGAUAUAAAAUAAAAACUAUUUUUGCCUACCCAAUAUACUCAAGGCUAUAAAUCCGAACUCGAAGCCAUCACCAAUUCUUUAACAUCAAAAAAUACUAGCUUGUAUGCUUUGACAAUAAAAUAGUUGUUAACUCCCA